Molecule: unclassified non-coding RNA, 394 nt
Filed under: Hevea brasiliensis (rubber tree)
Lineage: Eukaryota; Viridiplantae; Streptophyta; Magnoliopsida; Malpighiales; Euphorbiaceae
Source: RNAcentral
GGCAACAUCUAUGUUUUGUUUAGUUACAGUGCGCAUUAAGUUGCUGAGAUUGGUCUAAGUUUUUACUUUAACUAAGUUUCCUUUUUAUAAAUAAAGAGGAAACAGGAAAUAGUUGUGUCCUGGAUUACUCGUCUGGUGUUCAAUGUAAGUAGCAAGUACAACAUUACACCGACUCUAAUAUGGUCGAUAACGUCUACCACGGUUGGAAUCAUCACUGCCACCACUGGAUCCUCCUCCUCGUCCUUGUGGUCCACCGGCACCAUUGUUCCUGUCAUUCCUACGAGGCCGAACAGGUGGUGCCUGAACUCCUGGCUGCUGGAGGACAUAGCCGAUCUGACCAUCUGGUAAAACCAUUGGCACCAUCUGCAUACCUGUUGGCAUCGGUCCUCUACCA